UGUCUAAAACUUCUUCAUGGUAGAGCAUAAGACUCUUCAUCUCAGGGUUGUGGGUUCAAGCCCCAUGUUAGGCAA
Podarcis lilfordi (Lilford's wall lizard) is the source of this 75-nucleotide non-coding RNA. The record is from the annotation of a GenBank genome assembly. NCBI's taxonomy places the organism in Eukaryota, Metazoa, Chordata, Lepidosauria, Squamata, Lacertidae.